CCUACGGGUGGCAGCAGUGGGGAAUAUUGCGCAAUGGGCGAAAGCCUGACGCAGCGACGCCGCGUGAGGGAUGAAGGUCUUCGGAUCGUAAAACUCUGUCAGCAGGGAAGAACGGUCACUCUGCGAAUCAGCAGUGAAUUGACGGUACCUGCAAAGGAAGCACCGGCUAACAACGGGCCAGCAGCCGCGGUAAUACGUAGGGGGCGAGCGUGAUCCGGUUUCACUGGGUGUAAAGGGAGCGUAGACGGCCAUGCCAGCCAGGGGUGAAAGCCCGGGGCCCAACCCCGGGACUGCCCUUGGAACUGGAUGGCUGGAGUGCGGGAGGGGCAGGCGGAAUGCGUGGUGUAGCGGUGAAAUGCGUAGAUAUCGGGAGGAACACCGGCGGCGAAGGCAGCCUGCUGGACCGCGACUGACGUUGAGGCUCGAAAGCGUGGGGAGCGAACAGGAUUAGAUACCCUGGUAGUC
RNAcentral lists this ribosomal RNA (465 nucleotides) under uncultured bacterium. Its description in RNAcentral is "partial 16S ribosomal RNA". It matches the Rfam family "Bacterial small subunit ribosomal RNA", at positions 338 to 795 of the family's 1533-position model. The record is from RNAcentral.